RNAcentral lists this long non-coding RNA (403 nucleotides) under Olea europaea (common olive). RNAcentral's name for it is "long non-coding RNA (OEUR_LNC009358)". Lineage: Eukaryota; Viridiplantae; Streptophyta; Magnoliopsida; Lamiales; Oleaceae. The record is from RNAcentral.
UAUGGUUACAUUCUUUGUGUAUUGGGAUGAGCAUAGAAGAUCUUUUCUAGGUUUCUGUUUUCUUUUCAAUUAAGUGAUUUGUCCCUCUUUUUUGCUUCAAUCGAAUCUUGAAUAUCCAUUAUAAUGCAGGGAAGAAAAAUCAGCUUUUAGUAUCGAAUGGCACAGAGAAUGGUUUUUCUUAUCAACACGAAUUGAUAAGAAAUCACAAUUAGUAGCUAUGACUGAUUCUGGUGACAGUAGCCAUCUUGUUUAAACCAUUUCUUAGUAGCUACUUCUUUCAUGAAAUUUUGAUUUAGUUUAGUUAGUUUUCUAUUUUUCUGAUUAGUUCAAUCCUAAAAAUUAGUGGUUUCAAUCAACAUGAUUUUUCGAAUGCGGGGAUUUCUUUCUCCUUCUUGCAGAAUUC